CAAACAAACCCAAAAACAAAACACAAAACUAAAACCCUAUCUUCUACAAGGCAUUUUAGUGAGUUACCUGAUUCCUGUGUCUGUGAAAUACAUAGUAUUGUAUCCUCCAAGUAGAUACAGCUCUUCAUUUGUGUAUUAAAUAGUAGUGACAGUAAUCAAAUAACUACAAGACAACUGUAAAACAAUAUUGUGUCAGAUUAGAUUUGGAAAGCUGUGUUUUCCUACCCUUUUCUUUCACCCUUUUAGGUAGGAAAGCAUUAAGACAGUUUUAAAUACCAAACCGAAGGAGCAAAAGGAAGAGAAGUAAGAAGCAGAUUCUGCUCAUCCAGGAUGUGUAUUUAACUAGGAAACAGCCCCAGCUUUGCCUCACCCAGUCCAUGGGAGGCUGAGAGACUGGAAGUCCCUCCUGGGAGGAAGACCCAAGAUGGGCCAAAAAGGUUUAAGAAAGGUCACUACAAGGCAAGCACAUUGUCCUUUAUCCCUACCUUCACCUUGGAGUUUCACAUCACUGGAAGCAAGGAAUUGGUUCUGCUCCUCUGGGUGACGGACUAUGCUCAUUAAUCUUUCUUUUGGAACAGGAUUUGAAGCCAAGUACCUAAAAUCUGAGUGGUAGAAUUGUGUCCACACAUCCACAUUCUUUAUGUCCACAUUUUUUAUGUCCGCACAUCCACAUUCUUCCUGAUUACAGUAAUACUAUGCUCUUUUAGACUAGGAGCAUCUCUGGAAGAUAAAAAUAAAGGAAUGGUCCUUGCUUUUUGGUUAAGUAGGUAGUUAUCAGGAAACCAAUGUCUCUGAACACACAAGAGAUGUUCUGUUCAUGCAGGAGCUUACACUAUGUUUGUUCCUCUGAAAAGAGAGUUCCAUACAAAGUGCAUUUUCUAUGUUAUGUAUUAUCAAUAAAAAUGUUUCCGUUAUUGAACAUUGGUAGCAUCAAACCAGGAAGAAAAGCGCAAAUUAAACUUUAGAUGACAAGGGCCAAUAAAAACACCUUAAUGAAUGCUUUUAAAAAGACCUCAAGUGAGAACUGAGAGAAGUAGAGUAAUAAGAAGAGAAUAAUAGUGUCAUUUUAAGGGCAUUUGAGAACAGGAUCACAUUUUACCACAUUUCUGAGAAGCGUAAGCCAAGAACAGCAGCCUUGCCCUUCAUCUGCCCUCUCAGUUGCCCUCUGCUUUAGGCUGACAGAGGCUUCUCAUUACUGAGCAGCAAAACAGUUUGAACUAAUCUGGAUUAAAAUUAAUCAUGGCUAUUUUUUCUUUUGAGCGAACUUUGAAGUGGACCCAUUCUCCCUUUUACCUCAUUGCUUGGCAAUGCAAAUACUUAUACUGGCAGCAGGCAGGGAGCAACAAGGGGACAAGAGCAAGCAUUUGGGAACAGAGAAAGGGCAGGGCUGUUCUUUUUGGCAGCAGUGCUGUACUGCUUGCAGAAUUGCAAUGUUAAAGCAUCCCAUCCCAACUCUGUUAGGUUAUUUCUGCUUAUGCUAACAGAACCAGAGCAGAGCAAGCUACGCUGGUGGGAGGUUUGAACAAGACAAUCAAACCCCACACUGUUACAGUGGCCAGGGUGUUCAUUGCUAGUGAGGGCUCCAGUAGUAAAUAGUUUAAAAGCCAGCAGUGGAGCAAUCAGUCAUGUAGCUUUUGUGAAGCGAUGUGGAGACCAAAUUCAGAUUUGUGCUGCAGCUGGUUAGCACUGUGCUGCUGACACAAAACAGCUCUAAAGCCAAGGUAGCCAAUUAAUGCAGGCAACUGGCACAGCAUGUCUUACACCAGUGCUCUCCUGGCAGCUGGUUCCUUCCCUGUCUGAAAAGGGAGUGUAGUCAAAUCAUCCCUGAUCUGACACUCUCCUGUCUGUCCCAGGGGCUCUUAUUUGUUGGUACAGUCCUGAGCCCAUACAUCUUAUCUAAAAUUGCUGUAAGAAUGGCAUGGGAGUGGAUGUUUAUACCUUCAGGCUGCUUCUGCUCUGAGCAAGGUGUGGAGUCCUUGGCUGCACAACUUUCCUGGUUCUACACAUAUGCCCUCUAACAAAGAAAACCAGGAAAAUUAAAUACCUUCCAGUAAAAGAAAAAUAUUCUCUUUAUUGUUUAUGUAUGUUGGAACACUUGACAACUGAUAGCUUAAAAACAUGCAUUUGAUGGAAAUGAGAAGUUGCUCAUGAUUUGGAAUACACAAAGCACUUAAUAGCUAUCUGAUCAUCUAACAGUACAUAGGAAGUUCGCUUCCUUGGGAUCUCUGGUCAGGACAAGCUACAUAGCUUGUUAAGGAGGUGCUUAGAGCAUGUAAUACCUCAUCUUUUUCCAUGAACAUAAAGUAUCUUUCACAUGAUCAAGAAGGCACCUCUAUUAUGCAAGUGAUGCCUUUUUCAGUCAUGAGUACAGGAAUCCCAUGCUUGAUGGUUCCCAGUCUGAUUAGUGGUGGGCUGAGAUGUGUGCUCACAUCGAGCCAGUCCUCGC
This is a long non-coding RNA of Melospiza melodia melodia, 2446 nucleotides long. RefSeq lists it as uncharacterized. The transcript has 3 exons. The record is from RefSeq and is a predicted model, not a curated record. Lineage: Eukaryota; Metazoa; Chordata; Aves; Passeriformes; Passerellidae.